RNAcentral lists this ribosomal RNA (450 nucleotides) under uncultured bacterium. RNAcentral describes it as "partial 16S ribosomal RNA". It matches the Rfam family "Bacterial small subunit ribosomal RNA", at positions 338 to 795 of the family's 1533-position model. The record is from RNAcentral.
CCUACGGGGGGCAGCAGUAAGGAAUAUUGGUCAAUGGAGGAAACUCUGAACCAGCCAUCCCGCGUGAAGGAUGAAGGGGCUCUGCCUUGUAAACUUCUUUUGUCUGGGGCGAAAAAGCUCGAUUUAUCGAGAACUGACGGUACCAGAAGAAUAAGCACCGGCUAACUCCGUGCCAGCAGCCGCGGUAAUACGGAGGGUGCAAGCGUCAUCGGGAAUCACUGGGGUUAAGGCGUGCUUGGACGUCAUUGGUGAAAGGCUGUGGCUUAACCAUGGAAUUGCCAUUGAUACUGCAGAGCUUGAAUGAGGUUGAGGUUGGCGGAAUGUGACAUGUAGCGGUGAAAUGCGUAGAUAUGUGAUGGAACACCGAUUGCGAAGGCAGCUGACUGGACCUAUAUUGACGCUGAGGCACGAAAGCGUGGGGAGCGAACAGGAUUAGAUACCCCUGUAGUC